This 460-nucleotide ribosomal RNA is filed under the name uncultured bacterium. RNAcentral describes it as "partial 16S ribosomal RNA". It matches the Rfam family "Bacterial small subunit ribosomal RNA", at positions 338 to 795 of the family's 1533-position model. The record is from RNAcentral.
CCUACGGGUGGCAGCAGUGAGGAAUAUUGGUCAAUGGGCGGAAGCCUGAACCAGCCAAGUAGCGUGCAGGAUGAUGGCCCUACGGGUUGUAAACUGCUUUUAUACGGGAAUAACGCGCCUUACGUGUAGGGCUUUGCAUGUACCGUAUGAAUAAGGACCGGCUAAUUCCGUGCCAGCAGCCGCGGUAAUACGGAAGGUCCGGGCGUUAUCCGGAUUUAUUGGGUUUAAAGGGAGCGUAGGCCGCAUGUCAAGCGUGCUGUGAAAUGUCCGGGCUCAACCCGGGCCUUGCAGCGCGAACUGGCGUGCUUGAGUCCGCGGAAAGCAGGCGGAAUUCGUCGUGUAGCGGUGAAAUGCAUAGAUAUCACGCAGAACUCCGAUUGCGAAGGCAGCAUACCGGCGCCCGACUGACGCUGAAGCACGAAAGCGUGGGUAUCGAACAGGAUUAGAUACCCGUGUAGUC